GCACAAGCAGUGGAGUAUGUGGUUUAAUUCGAAGCAACGCGAAGAACCUUACCAGGGCUUGACAUCCCUUGAAGCAGCUAGAGAUAGCUGUGUCCUUCGGGACAAGGAGACAGGUGGUGCAUGGUUGUCGUCAGCUCGUGUCGUGAGAUGUUCGGUUAAGUCCGCUAACGAGCGCAACCCUCGUCGUAUGUUAUAUGUGUCAUACGAGACUGCCGGUAAAAGCCGGAGGAAGGUGAGGAUGAUGUCAAGUCAGCAUGACCUUUAUAUCCAGGGCUACACACACGCUACAAUGGUCUGUACAAUGGGUAGCCAAGCCGCGAGGCGGAGCCAAUCCUGAAAGCAGGCCUCAGUUCAGAUUGCAGUCUGCAACUCGACUGCAUGAAGCCGGAGUUGCUAGUAACCGCAGGUCAGCAAUACUGCGGUGAAUACGUUCCCGGGUCUU
This 442-nucleotide ribosomal RNA is filed under the name uncultured Anaerolineaceae bacterium. RNAcentral describes it as "bacterial SSU rRNA". It matches the Rfam family "Bacterial small subunit ribosomal RNA", at positions 923 to 1382 of the family's 1533-position model. The record is from RNAcentral. Lineage: Bacteria; Bacillati; Chloroflexota; Anaerolineae; Anaerolineales; Anaerolineaceae.